RNAcentral lists this small RNA (29 nucleotides) under Bombyx mori (domestic silkworm). RNAcentral describes it as "ovarian small RNA-2595". Lineage: Eukaryota; Metazoa; Arthropoda; Insecta; Lepidoptera; Bombycidae. The record is from RNAcentral.
CCGAGAUUGGAGCCUCUGCGCUCGAACUA